ACUCCUACGGGAGGCAGCGGUGAGGAAUAUUGGACAAUGGGCGCAAGCCUGAUCCAGCCAUGCCGCGUGCGGGAUGACGGUCCUAUGGAUUGUAAACUGCUUUUGUACAGGAAGAAACACCUCUACGUGUAGAGACUUGACGGUACUGUAAGAAUAAGGAUCGGCUAACUCCGUGCCAGCAGCCGCGGUAAUAC
Molecule: ribosomal RNA, 194 nt
Filed under: uncultured Bacteroidota bacterium
Lineage: Bacteria; Pseudomonadati; Bacteroidota
Description: uncultured Bacteroidetes bacterium partial 16S ribosomal RNA
Rfam family: Bacterial small subunit ribosomal RNA
Source: RNAcentral